UGGGGAAUAUUGCACAAUGGGCGCAAGCCUGAUGCAGCCAUGCCGCGUGUAUGAAGAAGGCCUUCGGGUUGUAAAGUACUUUCAGCGGGGAGGAAGGGAGUAAAGUUAAUACCUUUGCUCAUUGACGUUACCCGCAGAAGAAGCACCGGCUAACUCCGUGCCAGCAGCCGCGGUAAUACGGAGGGUGCAAGCGUUAAUCGGAAUUACUGGGCGUAAAGCGCACGCAGGCGGUUUGUUAAGUCAGAUGUGAAAUCCCCGGGCUCAACCUGGGAACUGCAUUAGAAACUGGCAGGCUAGAGUCUUGUAGAGGGGGGUAGAAUUCCAGGUGUAGCGGUGAAAUGCGUAGAGAUCUGGAGGAAUACCGGGGGCGAAGGCGGCCCCCUGGACAAAGACUGACGCUCAGGUGCGAAAGCGUGGGGAGCAAACAGG
RNAcentral lists this ribosomal RNA (429 nucleotides) under Chloroflexota bacterium. Its description in RNAcentral is "Chloroflexi bacterium partial 16S ribosomal RNA". It matches the Rfam family "Bacterial small subunit ribosomal RNA", at positions 355 to 776 of the family's 1533-position model. The record is from RNAcentral. Lineage: Bacteria; Bacillati; Chloroflexota.